GUUUGAUCCUGGCUCAGGACGAACGCUGGCGGCGUGCCUAAUACAUGCAAGUCGAGCGAGCCGAACUAAUUGAUUACCUUCGGGUAUGAAGUUAGGGAAGCGAGCGGCGGAUGGGUGAGUAACACGUGGGUAACCUACCCUAUAGUCUGGGAUACCACUUGGAAACAGGUGCUAAUACCGGAUAAAAGGAGAGAUCACAUGAUUUCUUUUUGAAAGGCGGCGUAAGCUGUCGCUAAAGGAUGGACCCGCGGUGCAUUAGCUAGUUGGUAAGGUAACGGCUUACCAAGGCAACGAUGCAUAGCCGAGUUGAGAGACUGAUCGGCCACAUUGGGACUGAGACACGGCCCAAACUCCUACGGGCAGCAGCAGUAGGAAUUCUUCCACACAUGGAACGCAGUCUGAUGGAGCAACGCCGCGUGAGGAGAAGGUUUUCGAUCGUAAAGCUCUGUUGUUGGUGAAGAAAGAUAGUGAGAGUAACUGCUCAUUAUUUGCCGGUAAUCAACCAGAAAGUCACGGCUAACUACGUGCCAGCAGCCGCGGUAAUACGUAGGUGGCAAGCGUUGUCCGGGAUUUAUUGGGCGUAAAGCGAGCGCAGGCGGAAAGAUAAGUCAGAUGUGAAAGCCCUCGGCUUAACCGAGGAAUAGCAUCGGAAACUGCCUUUCUUGAGUGCAGAAGAGGAGAGUGGAACUCCAUGUGUAGCGGUGGAAUGCGUAGAUAUAUGGAAGAACACCAGUGGCGAAGGCGGCUCUCUGGUCUGUAACUGACGCUGAGGCUCGAAAGCAUGGGUAGCGAACAGGAUUAGAUACCCUGGUAGUCCGUGCUGUAAACGAUGAGUGCUAAGUGUUGGGAGGUUUCCGCCUCUCAGUGCUGCAGCUAACGCAUUAAGCACUCCGCCUGGGGAGUACGACCGCAAGGUCAAAACUCAAAGGAAUUGACGGGGGCCCGCACAAGCGGUGGAGCAUGUGGUUUAAUUCGAAGCAACGCGAAGAACCUUACCAGGUCUUGACAUCUAGUGCCAACCUAAGAGAUUAGGCGUUCCCUUCGGGGACACUAAGACAGGUGGUGCAUGGCUGUCGUCAGCUCGUGUCGUGAGAUGUUGGGUUAAGUCCCGCACGAGCGCAACCUAUUAUUAGCCUGCCAGCAUUAAGUUGGGCACCUCUAAUGAGACUGCCCGGUGACAAACCGGAGGAAGGUGGGGAUGACGUCAAGUCAUCAUGCCCCUUAUGACCUGGGCUACACACGUGCUACAAUGGGCAGUACAACGAGGAGCGAACUUGUGAAGGCAAGCGAAUCUCUGAAAGCUGUUCUCAGUUCGGACUGUAGGCUGCAACUCGCCUACACGAAGCUGGAAUCGCUAGUAAUCGCGGAUCAGCACGCCGCGGUGAAUACG
RNAcentral lists this ribosomal RNA (1390 nucleotides) under uncultured Lactobacillus sp. RNAcentral's name for it is "bacterial SSU rRNA". It matches the Rfam family "Bacterial small subunit ribosomal RNA", at positions 11 to 1370 of the family's 1533-position model. Lineage: Bacteria; Bacillati; Bacillota; Bacilli; Lactobacillales; Lactobacillaceae. The record is from RNAcentral.